CGAACGGGUGCGUAACACGUGAGAAUCUACCCAUAGCUUAUGGUUAAAUGCCAUAGAAUCUUAUAGAUUUAGAUAUAUAUCGGUUAUGGAUGAGCUUGCGGGGUAUUAGGUAGUUGGUGUGGUAAUGGCGCACCAAGCCCAAGAUGCCUAGCCGGUUUGAGAGAACGAUCGGCCACACUGGGACUGAGACACGGCCCAGACGCUUACGAGCGGCAGCAGUGGGGAAUAUUGGACAAUGGGCGAAAGCCUGAUCCAGUGAUAUCGCUUUGGGGAUGACGGCGACAUACGUUGUAAACCCAAUGAAGUACGUUUAGAUUAU
This 319-nucleotide ribosomal RNA is filed under the name uncultured Alphaproteobacteria bacterium. RNAcentral's name for it is "bacterial SSU rRNA". It matches the Rfam family "Bacterial small subunit ribosomal RNA", at positions 99 to 452 of the family's 1533-position model. Lineage: Bacteria; Pseudomonadati; Pseudomonadota; Alphaproteobacteria. The record is from RNAcentral.